UAAAACCUAUUUAUAAUGGCGGCAUUUCAUCUUAUUAGAGGAACCUGUUUUUUAAUCGAUAAUCCACGUUAAUUUUCACUUCAAUUAAAAAUUUAUAUACCGCCAUCUAAAAAACUAAUUCAAUGAUAAUAUUUUAAAUAAAAACUAAAAAGUUAGGUCAAGGUGUAAUCUACAUUAAAGUAAAUAAUGGGUUACAUUAAAUAUAAUUUAAGGAUUUCCUUAUUAAAAUAUUCUUCGAAAAAGGAUUUAAAUGUAAUAAUAUAAUAAUAUUUUAUUAUA
RNAcentral lists this ribosomal RNA (279 nucleotides) under Alopecosa albostriata. RNAcentral's name for it is "partial 12S ribosomal RNA". Lineage: Eukaryota; Metazoa; Arthropoda; Arachnida; Araneae; Lycosidae. The record is from RNAcentral.